RNAcentral lists this ribosomal RNA (238 nucleotides) under uncultured bacterium. RNAcentral's name for it is "partial 16S ribosomal RNA". It matches the Rfam family "Bacterial small subunit ribosomal RNA", at positions 96 to 334 of the family's 1533-position model. The record is from RNAcentral.
CGGCGGACGGGUGAGUAACGCGCGGGUAACCUGCCUCAUACAGGGGGAUAACAGUUAGAAAUGACUGCUAAUACCGCAUAAGACCACAGCACCGCAUGGUGCGGGGGUAAAAACUCCGGUGGUAUGAGAUGGACCCGCGUCUGAUUAGCUAGUUGGUAAGGUAACGGCUUACCAAGGCGACGAUCAGUAGCCGACCUGAGAGGGUGACCGGCCACAUUGGGACUGAGACACGGCCCAA